This 2094-nucleotide ribosomal RNA is filed under the name Blautia wexlerae. RNAcentral describes it as "partial 23S ribosomal RNA". It matches the Rfam family "Bacterial large subunit ribosomal RNA", at positions 698 to 2820 of the family's 2925-position model. Lineage: Bacteria; Bacillati; Bacillota; Clostridia; Lachnospirales; Lachnospiraceae. The record is from RNAcentral.
AGUCAGUAGGAGUAGACCCGAAACCGGGUGAUCUAUCCAUGUCCAGGUUGAAGCUGCCGUAAGAGGUAGUGGAGGACCGAACCCACAUCCGUUGAAAAGGGUGGGGAUGAGGUGUGGAUAGGGGAGAAAUUCCAAUCGAACCCGGAGAUAGCUGGUUCUCCUCGAAAUAGCUUUAGGGCUAGCCUCGAUACAGAUUUGCGGAGGUAGAGCACUGAAUUUCCUAGGGGGCGUCAAAGCCUACCGAAGAAUAUCAAACUCCGAAUGCCGCGUAAUCGAUUAUCGGGAGUCAGACUGCACGAGAUAAGUUGGGCGGUCAAAAGGGAAAGAGCCCAGACCUUCAGUUAAGGUCCCCAAGUGCGCGUUAAGUGGAAAAGGAUGUGGGAUUUCGAAGACAACCAGGAUGUUGGCUCAGAAGCAGCCAUCCAUUCAAAGAGUGCGUAAUAGCUCACUGGUCGAGAGGUCCUGCGCCGAAAAUGUCCGGGGCUGAAACGCGCCACCGAAACUAAGGAACCGAAAGGUUGGUAGAGGAGCAUUGCAUGCGGGAAGAAGCAGUACCGUAAGGAGCUGUGGACUGCAUGGAAGAGAGAAUGCCGGAAUGAGUAGCGAGAAUAAGGUGAGAAUCCUUAUGGCCGAAUAUCCAAGGUUUCCAGAGUAAAGCUGAUCUGCUCUGGGUAAGUCGGGGCCUAAGGCGAGGACGAGAGUCGUAGCCGAUGGACAACAGGUGGAGAUUCCUGUACUGCGGUAUGACAGAACUGUGGGGACACGUAAGGAAAGCGGAAGCCGGGAAUGGAAAGCCCGGUGCAAGCGGGGUACCAGUCACUUUGGCAAAUCCGGGUGGCAAUGGGAAGCCGUGAUGCGGAGCGAAAUAAAGUAGCGAAGUCCGUGAGCCAUGCGUCAAGAAAAGCCGCUAUCGUUUAUACCGUACCCGUACCGUAAACCGACACAGGUGGAUGAGGAGAGAAUCCUAAGGCCGGCGGAAGAAGCAUUGUCAAGGAACUCGGCAAAAUGGCCCCGUAACUUAGGGAUAAGGGGUGCCUGGGAAACCAGGCCGCAGAGAAUAGGCUCAAGCAACUGUUUAGCAAAAACACAGGUCUAUGCGAAACCGAAAGGUGAGGUAUAUGGGCUGACGCCUGCCCGGUGCUGGAAGGUUAAGAGGAGAGGUUAGCGGUAACGCGAAGCUUUGAAUUUAAGCCCCAGUAAACGGCGGCCGUAACUAUAACGGUCCUAAGGUAGCGAAAUUCCUUGUCGGGUAAGUUCCGACCCGCACGAAAGGCGUAAUGAUUUGAGCGCUGUCUCGACAAUGCAUCCGGUGAAAUUGAAGUACCAGUGAAGAUGCUGGUUACCUGCGCCAGGACGGAAAGACCCCAUGGAGCUUUACUCCAGUCUGGUACUGGGACUCGGUAUUGCAUGUACAGGAUAGGUGGGAGGCUAGGAGAUGGUAACGCCAGUUGCCAUGGAGCCGCUGUUGGGAUACCACCCUUGCAGUAUUGGGUUUCUAACCAGCCGCCGUGACCCGGCGGUGGGACAAUGCCAGACGGGGAGUUUGACUGGGGCGGUCGCCUCCGAAAGGGUAUCGGAGGCGCCCAAAGGUUCCCUCAGAAUGGACGGAAACCAUUCGAAGAGUGCAAAGGCAGAAGGGAGCUUGACUGCGACACCGACGGGUGGAGCAGGUACGAAAGUAGGGCUUAGUGAUCCGGUGGUAUUAAGUGGGAAUGCCAUCGCUCAACGGAUAAAAGCUACCCUGGGGAUAACAGGCUUAUCACUCCCAAGAGUUCACAUCGACGGAGUGGUUUGGCACCUCGAUGUCGGCUCAUCGCAUCCUGGGGCUGUAGUAGGUCCCAAGGGUUGGGCUGUUCGCCCAUUAAAGCGGUACGCGAGCUGGGUUCAGAACGUCGUGAGACAGUUCGGUCCCUAUCCGGCGUGGGCGUAGGAUAUCUGAGAGGAGCUGUCCUUAGUACGAGAGGACCGGGAUGGACGGGCCGCUGGUGCAUCGGUUAGACUGCCAAGUCUACGGCCGAGUAGCCAAGCCCGGAAGGGAUAAACGCUGAAGGCAUCUAAGCGUGAAGCCCCCCUUAAGAUGAGAUAUCCCAUUCG